AAGCUCGUAGUUGAAUUUCGGGCCUGAUUAAGUGGUUUAGUCGCAAGAUUAACACUACUUAGUUGGGUCUUUCCUUCUAGGGAACUAUCAUGUACUUUAUUGGAUGUGAUAGGGAUCUAGAACUGUUACUUUGAAAAAAUUAGAGUGUUUAAAACAGGCUUAUGCUUGAAUACAUUAGCAUGGAAUAACGGAAUAGGACUUUGUUUCUAUUUUGUUGGUUUUGAGAAACGAGGUAAUGAUUAAUAGGGAUAGUUGGG
This 257-nucleotide ribosomal RNA is filed under the name uncultured Chytridiomycota. RNAcentral's name for it is "partial 18S ribosomal RNA". It matches the Rfam family "Eukaryotic small subunit ribosomal RNA", at positions 624 to 886 of the family's 1831-position model. The record is from RNAcentral. Lineage: Eukaryota; Fungi; Chytridiomycota.